This 510-nucleotide ribosomal RNA is filed under the name uncultured bacterium. RNAcentral describes it as "partial 16S ribosomal RNA". It matches the Rfam family "Bacterial small subunit ribosomal RNA", at positions 28 to 507 of the family's 1533-position model. The record is from RNAcentral.
GACGAACGCCGGCGGCGUGCUUAACACAUGCAAGUCGAACGAAGAGCGAUGGAAGCUUGCUUCUAUCAAUCUUAGUGGCGAACGGGUGAGUAACGCGUAAUCAACCUGCCCUUCAGAGGGGGACAACAGUUGGAAACGACUGCUAAUACCGCAUACGAUCUAACCUCGGCAUCGAGGAUAGAUGAAAGGUGGCCUCUACAUGUAAGCUAUCACUGAAGGAGGGGAUUGCGUCUGAUUAGCUAGUUGGAGGGGUAACGGCCCACCAAGGCGAUGAUCAGUAGCCGGUCUGAGAGGAUGAACGGCCACAUUGGGACUGAGACACGGCCCAGACUCCUACGGGAGGCAGCAGUGGGGAAUCUUCCGCAAUGGACGAAAGUCUGACGGAGCAACGCCGCGUGAGUGAUGACGGCCUUCGGGUUGUAAAGCUCUGUUAAUCGGGACGAAAGGCCUUCUUGCGAAUAGUGAGAAGGAUUGACGGUACCGGAAUAGAAAGCCACGGCUAACUACGUG